UGCUUCUCUUGAGAGCGGCGGACGGGUGAGUAAUGCCUAGGAAUCUGCCUGGUAGUGGGGGAUAACGUUCGGAAACGGACGCUAAUACCGCAUACGUCCUACGGGAGAAAGCAGGGGACCUUCGGGCCUUGCGCUAUCAGAUGAGCCUAGGUCGGAUUAGCUAGUUGGUGAGGUAAUGGCUCACCAAGGCGACGAUCCGUAACUGGUCUGAGAGGAUGAUCAGUCACACUGGAACUGAGACACGGUCCAGACUCCUACGGGAGGCAGCAGUGGGGAAUAUUGGACAAUGGGCGAAAGCCUGAUCCAGCCAUGCCGCGUGUGUGAAGAAGGUCUUCGGAUUGUAAAGCACUUUAAGUUGGGAGGAAGGGCAGUUACCUAAUACGUGAUUGUUUUGACGUUACCGACAGAAUAAGCACCGGCUAACUCUGUGCCAGCAGCCGCGGUAAUACAGAGGGUGCAAGCGUUAAUCGGAAUUACUGGGCGUAAAGCGCGCGUAGGUGGUUAGUUAAGUUGGAUGUGAAAUCCCCGGGCUCUACCUGGGAACUGUAU
Molecule: ribosomal RNA, 549 nt
Filed under: Pseudomonas sp.
Lineage: Bacteria; Pseudomonadati; Pseudomonadota; Gammaproteobacteria; Pseudomonadales; Pseudomonadaceae
Description: bacterial SSU rRNA
Rfam family: Bacterial small subunit ribosomal RNA
Source: RNAcentral